GAUGAACGCUGGCGGCGUGCCUAAUACAUGCAAGUCGAGCGAACAGACGAGGAGCUUGCUCCGCUGACGUUAGCGGCGGACGGGUGAGUAACACGUGUAUAACCUACCUAUAAUACGGGUAUAACUUCGGGAAACCGGAUCUAAUCCCGGAUAAUAUAUUGAACCGCAGUGUUCAAUAGUAAAAGACGGUUUUGCUGUCUCGUAUAGAUGGAUCCGCGCCGCAUUAGCUAGUUGGUAAGGUAACGGCUUAUCAAGGGAACGAGGCGUAGACGACCUGAGAGGGUGAUCGGCCACACUGGAACUGAGACACGGUCAAGACUACUACGAGAGGCAGCAGUAGGGAAUCUUACGCAAUGGGCGAAAGCAUGACGGAGCAAGGCCGCGUGAGUGAUGAAGGUCUUCGGAUCGUAAAACUCUGUUACGAGGGAAGAACAAAUGUGUAAGUAACUAUGCACGUCGUGACGGUAAUUAAUCAGAAAGCAACGGCUAACUACGUG
RNAcentral lists this ribosomal RNA (497 nucleotides) under uncultured bacterium. RNAcentral describes it as "partial 16S ribosomal RNA". It matches the Rfam family "Bacterial small subunit ribosomal RNA", at positions 28 to 507 of the family's 1533-position model. The record is from RNAcentral.